UAAGGAAUAUUGGUCAAUGGACGCAAGUCUGAACCAGCCAUGCCGCGUGAAGGAUGAAGGUCCUCUGGAUUGUAAACUUCUUUUAUUUGGGAAGAAACCCAUUUUUUCUAGAGUGGUUGACGGUACCAGGUGAAUAAGCACCGGCUAACUCCGUGCCAGCAGCCGCGGUAAUACGGAGGGUGCAAGCGUUAUCCGGAUUCACUGGGUUUAAAGGGUGCGUAGGUGGGCAGGUAAGUCAGUGGUGAAAUCUCCGGGCUUAACCCGGAAACUGCCAUUGAUACUAUCUGUCUUGAAUACCGUGGAGGUGAGCGGAAUAUGUCAUGUAGCGGUGAAAUGCUUAGAUAUGACAUAGAACACCAAUUGCGAAGGCAGCUCACUACGCGAAUAUUGACACUGAGGCACGAAAGCGUGGGGAUCAAACAGGAUUAGAUACCCUGGUAGUCCACGCCCUAAACGAUGGAUACUCGACAUACGCGAUACACAGUGUGUGUCUGAGCGAAAGCAUUAAGUAUCCCACCUGGGAAGUACGACCGCAAGGUUGA
This 542-nucleotide ribosomal RNA is filed under the name uncultured Chitinophagaceae bacterium. RNAcentral's name for it is "bacterial SSU rRNA". It matches the Rfam family "Bacterial small subunit ribosomal RNA", at positions 355 to 897 of the family's 1533-position model. The record is from RNAcentral. Lineage: Bacteria; Pseudomonadati; Bacteroidota; Chitinophagia; Chitinophagales; Chitinophagaceae.